RNAcentral lists this ribosomal RNA (502 nucleotides) under uncultured Glomeromycotina. RNAcentral describes it as "SSU rRNA". It matches the Rfam family "Eukaryotic small subunit ribosomal RNA", at positions 591 to 1092 of the family's 1831-position model. The record is from RNAcentral. Lineage: Eukaryota; Fungi; Glomeromycota.
CCAAUAGCGUAUAUUAAAGUUGUUGCAGUUAAAAAGCUCGUAGUUGAAUUUCGGGAUCUAUUCAUUGGUCGGGCCUCACGGUCCGUACUGGUGGUAUGGAUUCCUACCUUCUGAAUAACCGGUAUGUCAUUAAUUUGGUGUGCCGGGGAAGCAGGACUGUUACCUUGAAAAAAUUAGAGUGCUUAAAGCAGGCUAUCGCCUGAAUACAUUAGCAUGGAAUAAUGAAAUAGGACGGCAUGGUUCUAUUUUGUUGGUUUCUAGGAUCACCGUAAUGAUUAAUAGGGAUAGUUGGGGGCAUUAGUAUUCAAUUGUCAGAGGUGAAAUUCUUGGAUUUAUUGAAGACUAACUUCUGCGAAAGCAUUUGCCAAGGAUGUUUUCAUUAAUCAAGAACGAAAGUUAGGGGAUCGAAGACGAUCAGAUACCGUCGUAGUCUUAACCAUAAACUAUGCCGACUAGGGAUCGGACGAUGUUAAUUUUUUAAUGACUCGUUCGGCGCCUUACG